Molecule: unclassified non-coding RNA, 338 nt
Filed under: soil metagenome
Description: partial contains 5.8S ribosomal RNA, internal transcribed spacer 2, and large subunit ribosomal RNA
Rfam family: 5.8S ribosomal RNA (bases 1-120)
Source: RNAcentral
GAUGAAGAACGUAGCGAAAUGCGAUAAGUAAUGUGAAUUGCAGAAUUCAGUGAAUCAUCGAAUCUUUGAACGCACAUUGCGCCCGCCAGCAUUCUGGCGGGCAUGCCUGUUCGAGCGUCAUUUCAACCCUCAAGCUCUGCUUGGUGUUGGGGCCCUACGGUUGACGUAGGCCCUUAAAGGUAGUGGCGGACCCUCUCGGAGCCUCCUUUGCGUAGUAACUAACGUCUCGCAUUGGGAUUCGGAGGGACUCUUGCCGUAAAACCCCCAAAUUUUCUAAUGGUUGACCUCGGAUCAGGUAGGAAUACCCGCUGAACUUAGGCAUAUCAAUAAGCGGAGGA